This 253-nucleotide ribosomal RNA is filed under the name uncultured bacterium. RNAcentral's name for it is "partial 16S ribosomal RNA". It matches the Rfam family "Bacterial small subunit ribosomal RNA", at positions 524 to 776 of the family's 1533-position model. The record is from RNAcentral.
UACGUAGGGAGCAAGCGUUAUCCGGAUUUACUGGGUGUAAAGGGCGCGUAGGCGGGCCUGCAAGUCAGAAGUGAAAUCUGGGGGCUUAACCCCCAAACUGCUUUUGAAACUGUGGGUCUUGAGUGAUGGAGAGGCAGGCGGAAUUCCCAGUGUAGCGGUGAAAUGCGUAGAUAUUGGGAGGAACACCAGUGGCGAAGGCGGCCUGCUGGACAUUAACUGACGCUGAGGCGCGAAAGCGUGGGGAGCAAACAGG